CUUGUCUUGAAGGCUGAUGAUUUCUGCUCUGAAAUUCAGUUCCGUUUUUGGCAGUGCUAUGGGCAGGGAGUCUAGCUUCGUGCGUUGCCUCUGAACUGCUGCACGGUGAGCUGCACGAGGCAGAUUUCGAGUUGCAUCAGGCGGUGGUGGAUGGGAGGUCGAAGAGGGGCCGCCGGUGUUGUUGUGCGAGGAGGUGCGCCGAUGCUCUGUAUUCGAGCGUAUCAUCUAAAGCACAGGAAGUUCAGUUUUGCACCGUGCGCGGUUCACCAGUGUCAAAAGAUUGGGGUGUGGCGGUUUCGAUGGCGCUGCCAGGGUUAAAGACGUGCACGCCUGACACAGCAGGACACUACUGAAUCAGCUUUAAUGGAGCUUCUUUGAGUUGAGCAGAGCUUGCAACCGAUAGCGUCGUCCAGAGCCUGUCCUGAGGUCACUCAACUUGCCAGCGGUGCGCCGCUAUCGGAGGACUCCAGUGCUGCUGCUGCUGCGGUUCAUCCGGUGAACCACAUGCUUCCAAUUUUGUUCAUUUGAACUGUCAGGUUAGGCAGUGGGGUGUGCUCCCAUGGCUGCUAGCUUCUGGCCUCUCCGGUCGAGCAAGCAUCAGCUUUCGGCUAGCGGGCAACAAACAACAGUACGGUUAACAUAUAGCAACAACACAGUUCAGUUAAUUACAAAACACAACUACAUGUCAAGCAGCUAUUCUCCUUUUGUUUUGAUUGAUAGCUCUAUGUAGAGACACCACUUUUUGUAGAAGUUGUCAAAAAGUCAUCAUUUGCAGUACACUUCUAUAGGUUAGAGUUAUUCACUCAUUAGGCCCAAGAAGGUAUGCUACCUUGUAAAUAAAUAAAAAUGAAAUGACAGUCCAAAUAAUUAAAAAGUUAUAUCUUGCCACUGAAGUUCACUUUGUAAACUAGCAAAAGUUCACCACAAGGCGGUGCAGCUGCUGUACCUUCUUAAUGCUAUUAUUAACAUUGAUAAUCGCUGAAGUGUUGUUGAUGCUUAGUUGGGUUCUCACUGAUGUUGAUUGUAUUCUAUUUUACAGAGAAACUAAUAGAAUGUAUUUGUCGAAGUGCACAUUGGUGAAAAUAGGAAAUUCAUUGUAUAGAAAAAAUAUAAGUGCGCUUCACUUUCUUGUCUUCUCUUUUUGUGCAGGCGGGCAAUGCUCUGAGGCUGUAUAAUAAUUUCAUCUUUGAUUUCGAGACCAAGAUCAACCUUCCUGAAAUUGCUCACUAAAUAGUAGUAGGUUCACGCCAGUAUUCACAGAAAAAAGAGAAAUAGCCGCUGGUGCCGAGUGAGGGAGUUUGCUUCUAUUUUGUCGAGUUCACUUUGUAUAACAGCAGAAGUCUAGUCUGUAAAGUUCUUUUUCUUGUUUAUUCAUUUCCGUGUAAAUGGUAGUAGUUUCACGACAGUAUUCACAGAAAAAAAGAGAAAUAGCCGCUGGUGCCGAGUGAGCGAGUUUGCUUCU
Non-coding RNA from Lolium perenne, 1462 nucleotides. The record is from RefSeq and is a predicted model, not a curated record. Lineage: Eukaryota; Viridiplantae; Streptophyta; Magnoliopsida; Poales; Poaceae.